GUUUUAUGCUACUGCUUUCCACCCACUCUUCUUUUUUGUGUGAUUGCUGCAGUUCAGGUUGUGAAGUGGAUACUUUGAUCAUUGAGUAAAGACAGGUGAGACCAAGGGCUAUGACCGGAGCAUUAGUGUGUUAUGAAGGAUAGGUAGUUUUCCAAUAUGAAAGAUGUAAAUGCAGUAAAUAAAAGGUAAUUAAUUUGGGGCGACAGCAUUUUACAGCUAUUCAUAAAGACAAAAUAGAGCCUGCCUGGAUGUAAUGCGUGGCUAUGCAGUGCUACUGUCGGUCAGAGGAAGGGGAGCAUUGUUCUGCCCAUGCUAACGACUCUGCUCCUUUUAAUUACUGGUUAAAAUUAUACCUCUUAAUACGUGGAUGCAAAUGGCCAUGCAGAGGAGUGGUGAAUGGCAGUGCGUUGAUGUGGGGUUCGGGCCGUGCAGCCUGGUCACGAGCAGUGCUGUGUAACUGGCUGCAGGAAAUGCUUCUCUUUGAUGAUAGUGUAAUGGCUUGAGCUGUGAAGAAGAGGAAAGCGUUAAGGCUCCGGGAGUCACAAGUUUGCAUGCAGAUCGUGUGGCACCUGCUGCAGUUACCUAAUGGCCUCCGCUGAGAAAGGAGCGCUGUGUGGCUGUGGAAGCUGCAGCAGGUGGCAUGGGGCUGGUCGCUGCUGGAGCCUGGUUUGAGAAGCACAGGUGCAUUGCUCUGUGCUUCUGCUGCUAGGAACUUCUGGGCCUGAUGCUUUUGGCUCUGUGGCCUCUUUGGAAAGGUGUGGACAACUGGUUUUAGUUCAGGGGAAGCCAGACACUGUGCUCUCGAUGUAACUUAACGUGACAUUGAGAAUUCCUCCUGCUUGUUGUUUUCGGGAGACCUGACCCUCAGCUUUGGAGAUGUUCUGUCAACGUCAGCCUUGGCCUACAAGCAUGUCCUAGUGUGUACACCAGCAGUAGUUUUCAAAGCAGACAUGCUGAAAAUAGCUGUGAAUGCAUUCAUGGUUGGGUUGCAGAUGUUGGUAGGAACUAGAAAUUUACCUGUAAAGUAAACCUGGUUUUAACAGUUGCCUUCAUAGGACUGGUAAACUGGACUGAGUGAGUGAACCUUGACAGGCUCGUGCCUGUUGAGUGUCUCCGAAUCAAAGAUUGCAGAGAGCGAGCGUGACAGCCAGUAUGCAAAGGGAGGGGAGGCCUUUCUGGAGGUAAACCACUGAGCUGAAGGAAUCCUGUGAACUGGAUCCCGUGCGUGUCUGUGUGUCCCUGCUCUUCCUUUUACUUACGAGGCAAUAACUUUAGGUUCUUCUGCUUUUGAGGUAGAGGCUAAGUCUGGAUUUGAAGUAACCUGGUGUAUGUGGCGUGAGCGUCUGAAUGGGAACUUGGGCUCGACAGAGCAAGCGGCGUGUGCUGAACGCCUGGUUUCUGUGCCGGUUAUUUCUGCCAAGCUGAGAAAGGAGCUAAAGAUCUGGUUGAGAAUAAGACUCAGAUUCUGAAGUGUUUGAGGAACUUGCUACUGCCCAAGUCAUGACACUCCCAUUUCGAAAGGACUUGGACAAAUACAAAGAUCUUGAUGAGGAUGAAAUUCUUGGCAAACUGUCAGAAGAAGAACUGAAACAACUGGAAACAGUUUUGGAUGAUCUUGACCCAGAGAAUGCACUUCUUCCCGCGGGCUUCCGACAGAAAGACCAGACUGCUAAAAAGGCUUCAGGUCCUUUCGACAGAGAACGACUCCUUGCCUAUUUGGAGAAGCAGGCUCUUGAGCACAAAGACAGGGAAGACUAUGUGCCUUUUACAAAAGAAAAGAAAGGGAAAAUAUUUAUCCCCAAGCAAAAGCCUGUACAGUCAUUUACAGAAGAAAAAAUUGCUCUUGAUCCAGAACUGGAGGAAGCCUUGACUAGUGCCACAGACACAGAACUAUGUGACCUUGCAGCUAUACUAGGAAUGUCCAACUUGAUAACAAACAAUCAGUUCUGUGAUGUAGUAGGAAGCAGUAAUGGGGUAGACAAAGACAGCUUCUCAAAUAUAGUAAAAGGUGAAAAAAUGUUACCUGUUUUUGAUGAACCGCCAAAUCCCACAAACGUAGAGGAGACUUUGCAAAGGAUUAAAGAUAAUGAUUCCCGUCUUGUUGAAGUUAAUCUAAAUAAUAUUAAGAACAUACCAAUUCCAACGCUGAAAGAAUUUGCAAAAGCCCUAGAAACCAACACGCAUGUGAAGAAUUUUAGCCUUGCGGCCACCCGAAGCAAUGAUCCUGUUGCUGUUGCUCUUGCAGAUAUGCUUAGAGUAAACACGAAAUUAAAAAGUUUAAACAUAGAAUCAAACUUCAUCACUGGAGUUGGAAUUUUGGCACUGGUUGAUGCACUGAAAGACAAUGAAACAUUGACAGAGAUCAAAAUUGAUAAUCAGAGGCAGCAGUUGGGCACGCUUGCAGAAGUAGAAAUUGCCAAAAUGCUUGAAGAAAACACCAAGAUCCUUAAAUUUGGAUACCAUUUCACACAACAGGGACCUCGAGCCAGGGCAGCUGCAGCUAUAACAAAAAACAAUGAUUUGGUCUGGAGUAUACGAGUAAAAGUUUCUGCAAAUACCUUUUCGUCUCUCCAGCCCUGAAGCUACAGAGACAGGUUACUCUGAGUACCCAGUUGGGUAUCAAGCACUGAAAACUGAGAUGUUCAAAGCCUCUCAUUUCUGUCUUUUUCGCAAGAGAAGGGUUGAAGGAGACAGCCAGUAGAUCUUGUUGUUAAAACUACAUGGAGAUUUCAAGGGUCUUCAAGGUGUGCUCCUCACUGUGGGCUUUGGCAAUCUUGGACUACAUUUACCUAGGUUAGAAGGGAAAAGACUGGAAACCCCAUUCCUUUUAAAGCAAAGCUAUAUUAAAAAUCUGCUGGUAUAUACCACACUUUUCAGAUUGACACAUUGUAACUGCGCCAGUCUCUGUACCAUAGUUUUUUGUUGUUGUUGUUUUUUUAAGAUUUUUUUUUUGUAUUUCAGGACCUUGGCUGUGCUUUCUACUAAAAAUGUAAUCACAAAUCAGUGGUAUAGUUGUCUGCAGCCAAAGAAUGGGAUAUUGAAGAUCAUUGGGCAGAUAAUGACCCAAUUGAAAUGGUUGUCAGAAAAUCUAGGGGUGCUUGUUUACAUGGAGGGGUGUGUAUAUUCUUGAGAACAAUGCUUUAGUAGUGAGGGAUUCAUCACACAAUAGUUGGACUCAUUGUGUAGAGCUGUUCAUCCUUCUUCAUAUGCACUGAAGAGAAAUCUUUCACAACUUUUAUUUGUGAUUCUUUUUUAUUUUUGGUUCAUUCUUGGUACUGUGAUUAAGUGUAAACAUCCCUUAAAAGCAAGCAAAAAUAAAUUGCCUAAAGACCUUUUUCCCAAGAGAAUUUGAGGGACUGAUUUAAAAAAAAAAAAAGAGGAAAAAAUGGGAGCCUUGCCAAAAAAGUAGAAGCCUUGCAAAGUGAGGUUUCUUAUUAGACAUAAGUCCUAAAGGUCUCUUUAAAAAAUGUCCCAUAACUUUAUCUUUCUCUGUAUCUAAACUGGAUAUGUUUUUAGACUGCUAUCAUGUGCUCAUCAGCAUUUAGUUUAUAUUCUUUGUUUAAAAAUCCUUAUCUACAUGUGUAACUAGUAUGAACUUCUCUAGAAGUAGUGGAUAUGCAUUUGUUAAGUUCUGCAUAAUUUUGUAUGGGGAAAAGCAACCUUACCAGUAAAAUCAGUCGUAAGUUGCUGGCAAAUGGGGAAAUCCUUUUUUCAAGCUUUUACAUUAAAAUAUUAGUGCUUCAUAGAAAUCUGUCAUUUUUUAUGAAACAAUGAAGCAACACUUUCAAGAAAGGAUCUUUCUAUUCUACUUACGUCUUGAUGUUGAAAUGUGACAUAAGACUUGCAGAAAUUAACCAAUAUGCAGUGUCAUAUUUGUAUGUCAUAGUACUUAUUCAAGUAUUUCAAGUUUUAUAUCUAAGCAAACUAAUAAGGCCACAAGAAUUGCUUCAAUUUCUGUGCAUAAUCACAGCAGACUUCUCUGAAAUAACAAAAAUCUGGACUUCUUGGUGUGGGUCUGUGUGGACUGUAUUGUACUAGAUUACUCAAUGCUGUCAUGAGAUUAUAAACUCACAACUAAAGGACUGAUCGGCUAUAUUUAUAGCAAAGAGAGUUCAACUGACAACUGUUUUUCAUCAAAGGAUCAUAAUAUGGUGAGCAUUUUAUAUAUAGGAAAUGUAUAGGACUGAGAUAUUUUGCAUCGGAUUAUGUACUAUAAAAAUUCAACAGAGCAAUCCUCUGAAGCUGUGCCCAUGUUAUAAUUUGCUGCAACUCAUAUUUUGGAUUUUAAAGACAGACUUUAUUCUGGAGGUGACUUCCACUCGUAUUGCAACUGUACAGAGAAUUCUAAACUACAGUGCCUUCAAUGAGUAUGUAUAUAACUGGUUUAUAAUUAUGGAAUGACAUUUUUCCCUGUUUCAAAAUUGGCCUUUUAUUGACUAAUUACAAAUAAAGGUGUGCUCUGAAAAGACAUUUGGAAUUAAUUGUAUUAGAACCAAAGACUUUACAUUACUAUAAGCUUGAAGCAACUAGAAACGAUCUGACAAGUAACAAUAAAAAGGGCUUCUUCUGGUUUGGGCUUUUAUAAAUUGUCAAGAACUUCUUAGAUUUUUUGAAAUUUAAGUACCUCUAUAGUAUGGGUAUCUUUGCAAGCUAAAUAUCUUUUACAGAUAGAGCUGGCCAAAGCAUGUCAUGUGCUGAGUUGCCUAACGUUGUACUGUACUGUACUUUUUAUUUGCUAGGCACCAUAAUAAUUUUGUGUCAAAAACCAGACUGUAAUGUUUUCCUUCAUUUGUUGAAGGGUUACAUGUUCAUGAAAUCUGUUCGCUUGUGAUUUUAUGGAGACUUAUCUUACUAUUAUCAAACAAAGUUAUGUAAUUAUCUCCUGUUUGAAGAUGAAGGAGAAAAAAUGAAAGGCUGGAUUAUGGAAAUAAUAGACAAAAUCUCUUCCUUAUUUCUUUAUAGAAUUAAAUUUAGCUGCUUGAUGGUUUAUAUUCCCGUCAAAGACAGGCUUUAAAGUUGCAACUCUCUGGUGCCCUGUCACAGAAAAAAGUAGAGCACCUCUCUUAAUUGGUUUAGCUCUACAGACAGCAGCAAAGUAUUCCACUGCUUGUCAGAGCUUUCAGGAUAGACAGAAUGGGCAUAGAUUCUUUUUUUCUCUUUAAUCAGAAGAGUUUGGCCCUCCAAAUUGUUGAAGGACACCUGGUGUGGUGCAUGGAACAGUUACAAGUCACUUUUCUGCCUACAACGUAUAACCUUUCUGGAAUAAAUGAAGGAAUUCAGUCUGUAGCCAGGAGUCGUCAACAGUCUAAACUUGAAUCUUGUGAUUUAAUGGUUUCAGAUGUAGUGGGAUGUUAUACACGACUUUGUUUCGAAGUGUAGAAGUGGUAUUACUCUGAUAGCUAGAUACUGUUAACACAAGGUCUUCUUUCAGAAGAGGUGGUACAUUUUCUUCUAGAUUCUUUUCCAGGUUUAAUGCAGAAGUCAAAUGACCACAUAUUGUUGAUUCUGUUGGCUCCAAUCUAAGCAUGGAAACACAUACUAUAUUCUAAAACAGUUAUAUAUUUACUGUUGUAUGUUAAAGAUGUACUGUUAUUCAAGCUGUAAAAAAAAACUAGGCUGUUUGUAAGCUACAAACGAGCAUGUGUUCAAUUUAAAUUUCCAUUGAGGAAAUAUGAAUUGAGUGUUUUUAGCUUAUCAGCACUAUAUGCUGUCAGACUGUAAAACAGUAAACUUGUUGAAUGAUUAAA
Molecule: RNA transcript, 5747 nt
Organism: Anas platyrhynchos (mallard)
Lineage: Eukaryota; Metazoa; Chordata; Aves; Anseriformes; Anatidae
Gene name: tropomodulin-3
Source: RefSeq, a predicted model, not a curated record